UUGCUAGGAUGAUACUUGUCACAGACUUUCACCAGAAAUAAAAUGUUGGCAUGAAAAACGAGCUUUUUAAAUCUGAGCAAG
This is a small nucleolar RNA of Mercenaria mercenaria, 81 nucleotides long. Lineage: Eukaryota; Metazoa; Mollusca; Bivalvia; Venerida; Veneridae. The record is from RefSeq and is a predicted model, not a curated record.